GGGCCCGUAGCUCAGCCAGGAUAGAGCGCCGGCCUCCUACGCCGGAUGUCGGGGGUUCAAAUCCCCUCGGGCCCGCCA
RNAcentral lists this transfer RNA (78 nucleotides) under Desulfurococcaceae archaeon. RNAcentral describes it as "tRNA-Arg". It matches the Rfam family "tRNA". From Rfam's summary of the family: Transfer RNA (tRNA) molecules are approximately 80 nucleotides in length. Lineage: Archaea; Thermoproteati; Thermoproteota; Thermoprotei; Desulfurococcales; Desulfurococcaceae. RNAcentral also lists the same sequence under 1 other name. The record is from RNAcentral.